RNAcentral lists this ribosomal RNA (432 nucleotides) under uncultured bacterium. Its description in RNAcentral is "partial 16S ribosomal RNA". It matches the Rfam family "Bacterial small subunit ribosomal RNA", at positions 29 to 506 of the family's 1533-position model. The record is from RNAcentral.
AACGAACGCUGGCGGCAUGCCUAACACAUGCAAGUCGAACGAGACCUUCGGGUCUAGUGGCGCACGGGUGCGUAACGCGUGGGAACCUGCCCUUAGGUUCGGAAUAACUCCCCGAAAGGGGUGCUAAUACCGGAUAAUGUCUUCGGACCAAAGAUUUAUCGCCUUGGGAUGGGCCCGCGUUGGAUGAGCUAGUUGGUAGGGUAAAAGCCUACCAAGGCGACGAUCCAUAGCUGGUCUGAGAGGACGAUCAGCAACACUGGGACUGAGACACGGCCCAGACUCCUACGGGAGGCAGCAGUGGGGAACCUUCGACACUGCGCGCAAGACUGAUCCAGCAAUGCCGUGUGAGUGAUGAAGGCCUUAGGGUAGUACAGCUCUUUUAACCGGGAUGAUAAUGACAGUCCCGGGAGAAUAAGACCCGGCUAACUCCGU